This is a long non-coding RNA of Triticum aestivum (bread wheat), 804 nucleotides long. RefSeq lists it as uncharacterized. The transcript has 2 exons. The record is from RefSeq and is a predicted model, not a curated record. Lineage: Eukaryota; Viridiplantae; Streptophyta; Magnoliopsida; Poales; Poaceae.
UAUAUAUAUAUAGAGAGAGAGAGACCAAGAAGGAGAAGGGUAGCAAGAGACGAGAACAGAGCGGCGGGUGCAACAGCUUUCACUUUUUGCCAUGGCUUGGGGGUGCCACAUGAACAUGGUUCUUCUGUUAGUUAUACUGGAGAUCAUUCUGCUCUUUACGACACAAUCUGGAGGGCUGGUGGUUCCCUGUCCAUCGGGUACAAGACCAACAGCCGGAAGGGACGGGGCGAACUGCCCCCCGUGUAACAGAAAGCCUUGUUGUUGUUGAAAGUUGAUGGGCUUUCGGGCCAUUUAAAAUUCCUGAUAAAAUCACGGAGAUCCAUUAGUUGAUGCUUGGCAUGAGCAAAUUCAAUCCGUAUGAAGGGUAGUUGAGACCAAUACAUAAGGGACUCUAUCCCUACAUCUCUCUCCCUAUCUCUUCUCUCUCUCAUGUGCACUCCUCCGCUACCAUGUUCCUCACUGUAAUCCAUGUAAUAAGAAUGCCUUGCAGCAACCGAGGAUCUCACAUACGGUUGCCGAGUAUUUCCCCAUCUACCAGGUGUAACUCUAUGGGUAAUAGGCAUAGAGGAUGUUUGUCGAGAGUCCCGUAAAAAAACUCAGCAAAGAAAAGGUUCGAGGUAAAGUGUGGUCUUUGCUGAGUGUCGCUCACUCAAAUAGCUAUCCGGCAGGGCGCCUCCUAACCAAUAAAAAGGGGGACACAUGACGGCACGUAAAUGCUUAGUAGAAAGCCUACGGUUGUAAUAAUACAUCUGUUUGUGAUGGUGCCGUAGCCGCUCAUUCCAAAAUAACUUUAUUCAUUAUUAA